RNAcentral lists this ribosomal RNA (585 nucleotides) under Triticum aestivum (bread wheat). RNAcentral describes it as "partial small subunit ribosomal RNA". Lineage: Eukaryota; Viridiplantae; Streptophyta; Magnoliopsida; Poales; Poaceae. The record is from RNAcentral.
AUGAUUAUGAUCAUGUGGAACCGAAGGAGGAAAGUAGCAAGGAAGUUGGUUGGAUUGAUUCUUCCCCACAUAAUUAAGAAAUUGAACGCAAAGACUAGAGAAUUAAACUUGGAGGUGGUAGAAAGCUCAGAAGAAGUCGCUGAAGUGACAGCAUUGGGAGGCAGCGGCUUUAGGUUUGUGGUCAACUUGCUUGACAGGACAUGUUCUUGUAGACAAUGGCAAGUUUCUGGCCUUCCUUGCAAGCAUGGUCUAGCAUUUAUCACAUCUCUUAUCAAUGCACACAUAAAAAAUUAUGUGGACUUGUAUUACUCCAUUGACAAAUUUAGAGCAGCCUAUGACCAACUAAUUCCUGCCAUGGUUGACAAGAACCAAUGGCCUAAAUCUGACCAUGGAUUCUUCAUGUUUCCACCACUACUAAAAUCCACGGUGGGUAGGCAUAAAACUGAGAGGUAUAAAGGCUGCAGUGAGAAGAAAAGAAAAAGCGGCCAACACUUAUGCCCUAUUUGUAAGGACUAUGGGUAUCAUUGGCAUAAAUGCAAGAAGGGUAACCCAGAUGACAUUGCUGCUAUUUUAGCUGUGAGGUAA